UACGUAGGGGGCGAGCGUUGUCCGGAUUUAUUGGGCGUAAAGAGCUCGUAGGCGGUUUGGCAAGUCGGGUGUGAAAACUCCGGGCUCAACUCGGAGACGCCACUCGAUACUGCCAUGACUCGAGUCCGGUAGGGGAGUGCGGAAUUCCUGGUGUAGCGGUGGAAUGCGCAGAUAUCAGGAGGAACACCGGUGGCGAAGGCAGGUCACUGGGCCGCAACUGACGCUGAGGAGCGAAAGCAUGGGGAGCGAACAGG
RNAcentral lists this ribosomal RNA (254 nucleotides) under uncultured bacterium. RNAcentral describes it as "partial 16S ribosomal RNA". It matches the Rfam family "Bacterial small subunit ribosomal RNA", at positions 524 to 776 of the family's 1533-position model. The record is from RNAcentral.